UAUGUACGGAAUGGAUAAGCGCUGAAAGCAUCUAAGCGCGAAGCCAACUUCAAGAUAAGAUUUCCCACCGCAAGGGUAAGACCCCAGAAAGACUAUCUGGUUGAUAGGUCGAAGGUGUAAGUGCAGUAAUGUAUUUAGCUUAUCGAUACUAAUAGGUCGAGGACUUGACCAA
Molecule: ribosomal RNA, 172 nt
Filed under: Clostridioides difficile
Lineage: Bacteria; Bacillati; Bacillota; Clostridia; Peptostreptococcales; Peptostreptococcaceae
Description: partial 23S ribosomal RNA
Rfam family: Bacterial large subunit ribosomal RNA
Source: RNAcentral